CCAAUAGCGUAUAUUAAAGUUGUUGCAGUUAAAAAGCUCGUAGUUGAAUUUCGGGAUUAGUACGCUGGUCGUGCCUUCGGUAUGUACUGGUGUUACUGGCUCCUACCUUCUGACGAACCGUCAUGUCAUUAAUUUGGUGUGGCGGGGAAUCAGGACUGUUACUUUGAAAAAAUUAGAGUGUUUAAAGCAGGCUCGCGCUUGAAUACAUUAGCAUGGAAUAAUGAAAUAGGACGUUCGAUCCUAUUUUGUUGGUUUCUAGGAUUGACGUAAUGAUUAAUAGGGAUAGUUGGGGGCAUUAGUAUUCAAUUGUCAGAGGUGAAAUUCUUGGAUUUAUUGAAGACUAACUACUGCGAAAGCAUUUGCCAAGGAUGUUUUCAUUAAUCAAGAACGAAAGUUAGGGGAUCGAAGACGAUCAGAUACCGUCGUAGUCUUAACCAUAAACUAUGCCGACUAGGGAUCGGAUGAUGUUAUUUUUAAUGACUCAUUCGGCGCCUUACG
RNAcentral lists this ribosomal RNA (498 nucleotides) under uncultured Glomeromycotina. RNAcentral describes it as "partial small subunit ribosomal RNA". It matches the Rfam family "Eukaryotic small subunit ribosomal RNA", at positions 591 to 1092 of the family's 1831-position model. Lineage: Eukaryota; Fungi; Glomeromycota. The record is from RNAcentral.